UGAGCACGAGAUGCUACGGCAUCGAAGCAGUCUAUGUCAUACUUCCAAGAAAAGCUUGCAAUGUCAUAAACAAAUAAUGCCUGUACCAUAACCGACACAGGUGGGUAGGUAGAGUAUACUAAGGGGCGCGAGAUAACUCUCUCUAAGGAACUCGGCAAAAUGACUCCGUAACUUCGGGAGAAGGAGUGCCUUAUUUUUAUAAGGUUGCAAUAACAAGAUCCAAGCAACUGUUUACCAAAAACACAGGUCUCCGCUAAGUCGUAAGACGAUGUAUGGGGGCUGACGCCUGCCCAGUGCCAGAAGGUUAAAGAAGUUGGUUAGCAUUAGCGAAGCUGAUAACUGAAGCCCUGGUGAACGGCGGCCGUAACAAUAACGGUCCUAAGGUAGCGAAAUUCCUUGUCGGGUAAGUUCCGACCCGCACGAAAGGCGUAAUGAUUUGGAUACUGUCUCGGAGAGGGGCUCGGUGAAAUAGACUUGUCUGUGAAGAUGCGGACUACCUGCACCUGGACAGAAAGACCCUAUGAAGCUUUACUGUAACUUGAGAUUGAAAUUGGACUUUAUCUGCGCAGUAUAGGUGGGAGACGUUGAAAAUAUUCUUGCGGGAAUAUUGGAGUCAUCAGUGAGAUACCACUCUUAUAAUGUUAGAUUUCUAACUUUGUAUCAUUAUCUGGUCAAAGAACAGUUUCAGGCGGGCAGUUUGACUGGGGCGGUCGCCUCCCAAACGGUAACGGAGGCGCACAAAGGUUUCCUCUGAACGUGUAGAAAUCGUAUCUAGAGUGUAAAGGCAUAAGGAAGCUUGACUGUGAGACCUACAAGUCGAGCAGGGACGAAAGUCGGUCUUAGUGAUCUGACGGUGCUGAGUGGAAAGGCCGUCACUCAACGGAUAAAAGUUACUCUAGGAUAACAGGCUGAUCUCCCCCAAGAGUUCACAUCGACGGGGAGGUUUGGCACCUCGAUGUCGGCUCAUCGCAUCCUGGGGCGGUAGUACGUCCCAAGGGUUGGGCUGUUCGCCCAUGAAAGCGGUACGCGAGCUGGGUUCAGAACGUCGUGAGACAGUUCGGUCCAUAUCCGGUGUAGGCGUUAGAAUAUUGAGAGGAGCCUUCUUUAGUACGAGAGGACCGAGAAGGACAUACCUCUGGUGUACCAGUUAUCGUGCCAACGGUAAACGCUGGGUAGCCAUGUAUGGAGAGGAUAACCGCUGAAAGCAUCUAAGUGGGAAGCCCACCUCAAGAUAAG
RNAcentral lists this ribosomal RNA (1236 nucleotides) under metagenome. RNAcentral's name for it is "bacterial LSU rRNA". It matches the Rfam family "Bacterial large subunit ribosomal RNA", at positions 1564 to 2808 of the family's 2925-position model. The record is from RNAcentral.